CAUCCGUUUCCUACAUACAUCCGUUUCCUUUUGGAUCGAACAGAAUCCUUUGUGCUCAAACGUGACAUGAAUAAAUUUGCUACUUUGCUGGAUGUUAUUUAAACAGACCGCGGUUGACACAUCAGCUAGUCCGCGAAGACAGAGGUCAGAAGACAGGAUUUCAGAGAGUCCGAAAACUUUUACUGACGAGCAACUAGAGAUUAACAAAAAGGAAUAUGAAGUGCCUUGUUUUGUUCUUCAUCUCUUUGGGUCUGGCGAUGUCAUUUCCUUCACCUCCACAGCGUGAUGCUGAGGAUCUGGAGAACCACAUGACCG
This is a long non-coding RNA of Orbicella faveolata, 315 nucleotides long. Lineage: Eukaryota; Metazoa; Cnidaria; Anthozoa; Scleractinia; Merulinidae. The record is from RefSeq and is a predicted model, not a curated record.